UUCCUUUUCUCGGCCUUUAGGCUAAGAUCAAGUGUAGUAUAUGUUCUUAUCGGUUUAAUAUCUGAUGCGUAAGUUAUUGGUCCACAUAUCUUAUUAAAUUUAUUAUUUGAGGGGGAGUGUCCAUCACAGUAGCUUGCUGCUGGGGCUCUCGCGAGUCGCCCAAGUGUUGUAUUGGUGCUUGGGCCUGGCUCAUCCAAC
Small nuclear RNA from Hibiscus syriacus, 198 nucleotides. RefSeq annotates it as U2 spliceosomal RNA. Lineage: Eukaryota; Viridiplantae; Streptophyta; Magnoliopsida; Malvales; Malvaceae. The transcript has a single exon. The record is from RefSeq and is a predicted model, not a curated record.